AGGAGCCGUAUGAGGUGAAAAUCUCAUGUACGGUUUUGGAACGGAGAAUUCUU
Non-coding RNA from Gossypium arboreum, 53 nucleotides. NCBI's taxonomy places the organism in Eukaryota, Viridiplantae, Streptophyta, Magnoliopsida, Malvales, Malvaceae. The record is from Rfam.